UACGGAGGGUGCGAGCGUUGUCCGGAAUCACUGGGCGUAAAGGGCGCGUAGGCGGCUCAUGAAGGCUGUGGUGAAAGUCCGGGGCUCAACCUCGGAUCGGCCGUGGCGACUCGUGGGCUGGAGCACUGUAGAGGCGGGUGGAAUUCCGGGUGUAGCGGUGGAAUGCGUAGAGAUCCGGAAGAACACCAGUGGCGAAGGCGGCCCGCUGGGCAGUGGCUGACGCUGAAGCGCGACAGCGUGGGGAGCAAGCAGG
RNAcentral lists this ribosomal RNA (253 nucleotides) under uncultured bacterium. Its description in RNAcentral is "partial 16S ribosomal RNA". It matches the Rfam family "Bacterial small subunit ribosomal RNA", at positions 524 to 776 of the family's 1533-position model. The record is from RNAcentral.